ACCUUGAUUUCUGUUGCUAAUCUCGUGUUAGUUCAAAAACCGAUUCAAAUUCAAAUUUAGAAAUAUGGCAAACAACAAAAGUUUUCAAAAGGUCAAAACUAAAAUGUUCUUAUUCUGACAAAUAAUUCACAAGAUAUAUUGGUGGAGAAAACAAGUUUUUAUAAAAUGUUUAAAUGCACUAAACUAAUUAAAUUAGUAGCUAUAACCAAAAAUCAAAUGCUUUUUGUAAUAUAUAAAAUAUUAAACUAAUUUAUUUGGGAGCCCAAGUUAUUGUGGCAUUAGCAUAAGUAGUAACACUAUUUUAGGAACAAAUUAUAUAUUUUAUAAAACUUUAGUAAAUAGAAAAUAAAAUAAAAUAGUAAAGAGAAAAUAAAUAAAAGAAUAACAAACCAAAAAGAAGAAGACAAAAGCCCCGCCUCCCAUGGGCCUCGGCCCACCAGGGCACCGCCUAGGUCGGCCCACCCGCCUACAACUAACCCCCCACAACCCGAACCCUAACCGCAUCCCCCCCGCACUCCCCCCACGUCCUGGAUCGAGGCGGCGCCCCUGCGCUCGCUGCGCCCCGACCCCGACGACCGCGCCCCAUCGACUGCCGCUCGAGGGCCCCCUCGACUCGCCGGACCGCUUCGCCAUCGCCGGAGCACUUCCCCGCUAGACUGCAUCCCCUGCGUCACGCCGUCUCCGCCCUCCUCCUUGCCCCCAUUGCCCCUGACCCUACGACCCCGGUGAGGCCAUGGCCUCCACUCCCUCCUCUCUGUCCCCCUCGAGCGCCCUGCAGCCACCGUGACCGCACCCCGUUCACCCCUGCUCGACCCAGCGCGCGCCCACGCGCUCCCGUGCUAACCCACGCGCGCGACCCGCGCCAUCCAGCCAAGAGCCAGCCGUGUCCCGCGCCACCAUACGCGCUCGCGCCGGACGCGCCCCACGACGCCCCCUGCUCGCGCGCGUGGUCGAUGCGCUACUGCACUGCCGCCGCCGUGCCCUGAUUCCCCUGCUCGCCGCGCCCAUGGCCCCGCUGUCGCCGCCCACAUCCCGCCUUCGGUCGCCCUGCUGUGCGCCGGCAGCCAUGACCCCCUGCACCGCGCUAGCCGCCUCCCCUGCAUCUCACUGCCUCGCCCGCGCCACGCAGCCGCGCCGCCAACUUCUGCCCCGUCACGCUGUGGCCGCGCCGGUUCCGCCCUCCGCUGCCGCGGCACGACCGCACGCCCAUGCCCCACUCCACUUCUGCCGCUGCUGCUGCUCAUCCGCCAACCCGCCGCCAGACACACUCACCGGCGCGCCGGCGCUCGCGCCCGCCAACCACCACGCGGCGCCCAGGCGGGUGCGCACCCAUGGCCCAGCGCCCGACGCCCAGCGCCCGUUUGGCUCCUCUAGGCCACUGACAGGAGGGCCCCGCCUCCAGAAUGUUUCCAUAAAAAAGUUUUAGAUAAAUACAUAAAUAAGUAAAAUAAAUAAAUAUAAUAAUAAUAAUAAUAUAUUAAAUAAAUAAUUAAUUAAAUUAAUUAAUCCUAAUUAAUUAAUCUAAUUAACUUGUUAGUUUAGUUAAACAAUAAUUAGUUAGUUAAACUCUAAUUAGACUAAACAGUCAAUGACGAACGGGACCCACACGUCAGUUGACCAGUCAACGCCUCUGUUGACUGCUGACGUCAUGCUGACGUCAGCGUGCACUGUUCUGGAUAAUGUUGAUUAAAUUAAUUAAAUAAAUCUAAAAAUUGAUUUAAAUCUUUUAAAAUUAAUAUAAAAUAAAUCGUAGCUUGGAUGAAAAACUUUGUACAUGAGAGUUGCUCAGAACGAUGAGACGAAUCUGGAUACGCAACCCGUUAGUCCGCCACGCAUCCCUAGCAUAGCAAACACGCAACUUUCCCCCUCCGGUUCAUCUGUCCAAAAACGCAAAACACCGGGAAUACUUUCCUGGAUGUUUUCCCCCUCCAUCUGUACCACCUCGUACUGCGUUAGGGCUCACCUAGCUUUACGCUUUGUCAUGUCAUGCAUCAUCAUGCAUUUGUUUGCAUUAUAUUUAUUGUUUCUUCCCCCUCUUCUCUUGCUAGACACGGAGACCGACGCCGCUGCUACCCAGUAUGACUAUGGUGUUGACGACCCCUCUCUCUUGCCAGAGCAACUAGGCAAGCCCCCCCCUUGAUCACUAGAUAUCGCCUACUCUACUCUCUAUACUGCUUGCAUUAGAGUAGUGUAGCAUGUUACUGCUUUCCGUUAAUCGUAUCCUGAUGCAUAGCCUGUCCUUGCUACUACUGUUGUUACCUUUACCUGCAAUCCUAAUGCUUAGUAUAGGAUGCUAGUUUAUCAUCAGUGGCCAUACUUUCUUGUCCAUCUGCCAUGCUAUACUAUCGGGCCGUGAUCACUCGGGAGGUGAUCACGGGUAUAUACAUAUAUACAUAAUAUAUCAUACUUGUGGUGACUAAAGACGGGUCGGCUCAUAGGAGUACCCACGAGUGAUUCACGGAUUGGGUCCGAAAGGAUGUUUGUCCCGACGGCCCUCUGAGUGCAUCUUUGUGGCAAAGCGACAGGGCAGGUUGAGACCACCUAGGAGAGAUGUGGGCCUGGCCCUGGUCGGUGUUCGCGGUUAUUUCAAAAUAACACGUUUAACGAGAUCUUGGCAUUUGAUCUGAGUCUGGCUACUGGCCUAUACGCACUAACCAUCUACGCGGGGACAGUUAUGGGCACUCGACGUCGUGGUAUCAGCCGAAGCCUUCGUGACGUCAGCGACUGAGCGGCGCACGCCGGGUUGGACUGGAACGCCUACUCUUGUAUAAGGGAGGCUAGGUCUGCUCACCGGCCGCGUACGCAACGUGAAGGUGUGCAAUGGGCGAUGGCCCAGACCCCUGCGCCAUAGGAUUUAGACCGGUGUGCUGACCUCUCGGUUGUUCCUAGGUAGGGCUGCGACGUGUUGAUCUUCCGAGGCCGGGCAUGACCCAGAAAAGUGUGUCCAUCCAAAUGGGGUCGAGCGUGUUGGGUUAUGUGGUGCACCCCUGCAGGGAAGUUAAUCCAUUCGAAUAGCCGUGAUCUUCGGUAACAGGACGACUUGGAGUUGUACCAUGACCUUAUGAAAACUAGAACCAGAUACUUAAUAAAAUACACCCUUCCAAGUGCCAGAUACAACCGGUGAUCGCUCUCUCACAGGGCGACGAGGGGAGGAUCAUCGGUUAGGAUUAUGCUAUGUGAUGUUACUUGGUGAACUUACCUUCUACUCUCUUCUCCUGCUGCAAGAUGGAGGUUACCAGAAGCGUAGUCUUUGAAAGGCCUAGCUAUCCCCCUCUUAUUCUGGCAUUCUACAGUUCAGUCCACAUAUGAUACCCUUAAUCCAUUUGAUACGAAUGCAUACAUAUGUAGUGUAGCUCCUUGCUUGCGAGUACUUUGGAUGAGUACUCAUGGUUGCUUUACUCCCCCCUUUUCCCCUUCCUAUACCCGAUUGCUGCGACCAGACGUUGGAGCCCAGGAGCCAGACGCCACCGUCGACGACGACUACUACUACUCGGGAGGUGCCUACUACUACGUGCAGCCCGCUGCCGACGACCAAGAGUAGUUUAGGAGGAUCCCAGGCAGGAGGCCUGCGCCUCUUUCGAUCUGUAUCCUAGUUUGUGCUAGCCUUCUUAAGGCAAACUUGUUUAACUUAUGUCUGUACUCAGAUAUUGUUGCUUCCGCUGACUCGUCUAUGAUCGAGCUCUUGUAUUCGAGCCUUCGAGGCCCCUGGCUUGUAAUAUGAUGCUUGUAUGACUUAUUUUAUUUGUAGAGUUGUGUUGUGAUAUCUUCCUGUGAGUCCCUGAUCUUGAUCGUACAUGUUUGCGUGUAUGAUUAGUGUACGAUUGAAUCGGGGGCGUCACAAGUUUCUAUCAGAGCCGACUGCCUGUAGGAAUCCCCCUUCCACACUCCUUGGCCGAAUUCGAGUCUAGACAUUGCAAAAACUUUUUACUAACAUGGCUGUGUGUCUUACGGGCCCACGUCGCCAUUGGGUGGUAUUAGGAUCUUUUAUUCCCCAACCUAUACUCUAGGACUCUGAGCUCUCUUCUAUUCGGGUUAAAUGAUUUUGCUAAAAACAAAACUAACUUUAGGUUCUCGAAGGUACUUUCUCCUGGAGAGCCCCUCCCCUCAGAUGAUCGCCUGCUUCACUAGAAGAUUCCGAAGUUACUCUAUGAUGUUCUCUCGAGUCUUUGUGCCAUCGCAUUUGCGAUUUCCUUCCAUCUUCAACCCCUAUGAAAACUGCAUACACUUGCCAUUCAGACAAUCAUUCCCAGUUGGUCUUGUUAUUACAAGAUACCCCGGAAUACUCGUCGUUGUUUCGAUAAUCCUUUGAGCUUACUGCCUUGCUAUUCUUUGUCACCUGAAUACCCCUACGGAUAAUUCUCGCACUUAUCGAGUAUCGGCUCAUCCCCGAGUCGUUCAUGUGUUUCACAAUGGUCAUCGAAAUACUAUUCGAUCCUCCAAAAAUCCUUAGUAGCUUAUUGCUCUGCAAUACUUGUCUGCUUGCAUGAUGGAUGCUUUCCAUAUGUCUGGCAAUAUUCGUUAGUAUCCUUAGGCACCGUCAUUUUGAUCCCUUUGAUUCGAAUGAGUGCGAAUGCACGCAAUCAUCAGUUGAUCCUUUUAAAUUAUCUUUCCGGCUCAGACGUCAUUUUAAACAUGAGCUAGUUCUCAACCAAUCCAAUUGCCCUCGAUUGUAUCCCUAAGGCUAUUCAACUUAUCCAUCCCUAAUCAGAACAUAGCUUCUUAUACCUUGAUUUGAAAAUCAUAAUUCCUUUGUAUUUGAGCUCUAGAUUAGUCAGUUGUUUCCAUAAUCCAAUGCCUUUGCAUUGUUACUUCCUCUGAUUGUGUGCCGAUGCUCAUGUUAGCUCUGUUAUGGACCGGCAGACCCUUUAAUGGAUUUUAUCCGACAGCAUCCUUCAUAUUCAAUAACCUUGUGAGCCUUCCCUCGGAUACAUAAUGCAUUUGGUAAACUGUAUCAUCUACUUUCUCAACCUUGCUCUACUUUCGAGCUUGUGAUAUUUACUCUUGAAACUUGUGGUAUAUGUUUCUAAGAAGCACCUAUGGGUUGAACAUAUGCCUUCUCUAAACUGUGUGAACUCAAAAGUUUUCACGAGUCAUACACUUCUGGUAUUUUGCCAGAUAAAAUUUCAACACUACAAUAUGAUAGGUUAUGCAUUGGAGAAGUGGGAGUCGACCUUGAACUUUGUGCUCAUGCCCAUGGACACGAUGUAGCUCUUAUCAUUAAAGCUUCUCUUAAAUUAAUUAUUCCUUUGGUAUAAGUUCAUCUUAUAUCUGGGAUCUGUCCUUUUGCAAUCGUGGUUCCGACCAUGUUCUCCUUUAAAUACCAUUUCGCGUGCAAGUUUAAGUGCUUGUCUUCUGUAGAGCAAUACCCCAGUCCAACCUCUACUUUGAUCUGUCAUCGAGUAUUACCCCCUCUGGUAUCUCGAGAUUAUCACGGAACUGCAUAACUUCUUAUGAGUUCUUCUUCAAGUAUUAUUUGACUUUUGUUGCAUCAUCAUUUGACUUGAUGUCAUCGCCGACCGAAUACAUCUUCAUGAAAUCUCUCAACAAAUGUGUCAUGUUCAUCAUCAACAUCCUGAGCUCUUCCAAGAUAUAUAUCGAAUUCUUGAUGAGAAAUACCAUCCUCGCCCCUCAAUGGUUUGUGUUAUCACCGACCACUUUAUUGCCUUCCGUUCAACACAAACUUAUUCGUGUUUUGUGCUAUACAUUGAGAUCCUUGCUAUCCAGCCUAUGUUAUGAUCUACCUUGGAGUAUUACAAUCUUAUAUGUCAAGGAUGUCGUGAGAAUUUCACCACCUCUUGAGAAUUCUUGAUACAAGUAAUACUUAUCACCAUCACCAUUCCUCCCUUGGUCCUUGUGUUGUUUCUAACCGGAAUACCGACAAAUGGUCAGUGAUGUGAAAAUUCAAAACUUCUAGCAACCCUAUUGCUUAAUGGUCGAUAGCUCCAUUCUAAGUCUAUUUCUUAUUGAAUCAUCAUUCGAACAUUGAUCGUGCUACUUAGUCCAGAUUUCCGGGUGCACCUUUCUAUCAUUGUUCAAUUGUGUAUGUUGUCAUCGAACAUACAUCAUUAUAUCAUUUGAUCUGACUAAUGUUAUCUCCUUGUUCACAUAAUUGUGGAAAUCAUCUUUUGUUAAUCUUGAUGAAUUGUCGCUGAGUCCAUCAACCACCACCUCGUCAUUCCCUUGGAUUAAUGAUGAACUCUUGUUCCAGAACUCGCUUCCAUAGUUCAUUUCCCGAGGGUCUUGCAAUGUCAUCUCAUCAAUUGGUGUCGCACCUUUUUCUUCUCAAGCAUCUUGAGUUCGACCUUGAUUGAAGACCAUGUCAAUGCUAUUUUGAAGCAUGUCUAUGGUAUUCUGAUUUUCAACAAGAACAUUUGAAGCCCAAUGCUAAAUGUUUCUUGCUCAAUUAUCCCAACACCUUUGCCUGGGUGAUGUCAGGAAAUUUCUCUCCCCUUACCAAAAGGGUUUUCUACAUUAUAUCCUGUCAUGGAUAUCUUGUUCUGCUUGUCCUUGGGAAGGAUAUACCCCUGAAAUAUGUGUUUAAACACAUUUUCCUUUCCAUUCUUCUGUUUAAUAUAAUAAUCAUAUUUUCCUUUCCAUUGUUUUGUUUAACCUUCUUGUAAUCUGACUUACCUGAGCAGUAGUAAUUCCCUGCGUAUGCAAACACCUCGGUGUACCAUCAUGUCUCGUGUAACCCUGAUACUAUUGUUGAUGACAUUUCAGUAACCACCGAUGGAUGAGAACUUUGCCUAUUGGUCCGCCUCGUUCAACAAGCAGGAAGAUGGUUCUCUUCGUCCCUCGCCCUUGGUACCGACGUUGUUGCCGACAUAACCGACAGGCUGUCCGUUGACAUGUCUUGCCUACAUUGUCAUACAAGACGUCACCGCCCUUCCUACCAUUAACUCACAUGGUGGGCCCAUAACCCACAGGUCCCAUGAUCGAAACCUGACUCUUCGGUACACCCACUGUUUCCAAAGUUAUUCCUCACGCGUGGCCUCGUAGGCAAUUCACGAGCCACCCUUCUAGAGAUGGUCUAUUCUGGUAUCAGACACAAUACUUAUUCCCAUCGAUUUGAACCCUUUCACACGCUGUUACAGGCAAUGAACGAUUGCCUAUCCGCUUGAAAUUUCUUAUUGCACCUUCUUACCUUGCUCUCGAUGACUUUCUGCAAUUUCAACUCGAGAGAUGCCUUUAUACCUCAUUCACUGCAAUAGCCCCAUGUACCUAACAUGUGUUGAGCUCCGUCCUUCCCGAGUCUCCCCCCUUAUCUUUUCCAUAAGUACGAUGAAGAUCCCGGAGAAAGGAUGUCGGCUACAUCAUGAUGAAAGAAAGCGAAGAAUUGAAGACACCAAUGAAAGUGAUUAACUUCGUCGAGAAGAUCCGUUAGGAUAUCGUAACCAGACCUUUCCCCCUUACUCUACCUCUUAAAUCUCGGGACGAGAUUUCUUGUAGUGGAGGAGAAUUGUGAUGCCCGGAUAUUUAAGCUACAGUGAACCUCUGCUAAUGAUGCCACGUCACCUCGACUUCUGUUGCUAAUCUCGUGUUAGUUCCAAAACCGAUUCAAAUUCAAAUUUAGAAAUAUGGCAAACAACAAAAGUUUUGAAAAGGUCAAAACUAAAAUGUUCUUAUUCUGACAAAUAAUUCACAAGAUAUAUUGGUGGAGAAAACAAGUUUUUAUAAAAUGUUUAAAUGCACUAAACUAAUUAAAUUAGUAGCUAUAACCAAAAAUCAAAUGCUUUUUGUAAUAUAUAAAAUAUUAAACUAAUUUAUUUGGGAGCCCAAGUUAUUGUGGCAUUAGCAUAAGUAGUAACACUAUUUUAGGAACAAAUUAUAUAUUUUAUAAAACUUUAGUAAAUAGAAAAUAAAAUAAAACAAUAAAGAGAAAAUAGAUAAAA
RNAcentral lists this long non-coding RNA (7892 nucleotides) under Triticum aestivum (bread wheat). RNAcentral describes it as "long non-coding RNA (TAES_LNC001555)". Lineage: Eukaryota; Viridiplantae; Streptophyta; Magnoliopsida; Poales; Poaceae. The record is from RNAcentral.